Molecule: transfer RNA, 108 nt
Filed under: Vulcanisaeta souniana JCM 11219
Lineage: Archaea; Thermoproteati; Thermoproteota; Thermoprotei; Thermoproteales; Thermoproteaceae
Description: tRNA-Gly
Rfam family: tRNA
About the family: Transfer RNA (tRNA) molecules are approximately 80 nucleotides in length. Their secondary structure includes four short double-helical elements and three loops (D, anti-codon, and T loops). Further hydrogen bonds mediate the characteristic L-shaped molecular structure. tRNAs have two regions of fundamental functional importance: the anti-codon, which is responsible for specific mRNA codon recognition, and the 3' end, to which the tRNAs corresponding amino acid is attached (by aminoacyl-tRNA synthetases). tRNAs cope with the degeneracy of the genetic code in two manners: having more than one tRNA (with a specific anti-codon) for a particular amino acid; and 'wobble' base-pairing, i.e. permitting non-standard base-pairing at the 3rd anti-codon position.
Source: RNAcentral
GCGGCCGUAGUCUAGCCUGGUCUAGGAUGGCGGCCUGCCGAGCCGCAGAACCCGGCCGUGCGUCCGAUUGGGCGUACGGGGUAAGUUCGAAUCCCGGCGGCCGCACCA